GAUGAACGCUGGCGGCGUGCCUAAUACAUGCAAGUCGAGCGAAUGGAUUAAGAGCUUGCUCUUAUGAAGUUAGCGGCGGACGGGUGAGUAACACGUGGGUAACCUGCCCAUAAGACUGGGAUAACUCCGGGAAACCGGGGCUAAUACCGGAUAACAUUUUGAACCGCAUGGUUCGAAAUUGAAAGGCGGCUUCGGCUGUCACUUAUGGAUGGACCCGCGUCGCAUUAGCUAGUUGGUGAGGUAACGGCUCACCAAGGCAACGAUGCGUAGCCGACCUGGGAGGGGGAUCGGCCACACUGGGACUGAGAAACGGCCCAGACUCCUACGGGAGGCAGCAGUAGGGAAUCUUCCGCAAUGGACGAAAGUCUGACGGAGCAACGCCGCGUGAGUGAUGAAGGCUUUCGGGUCGUAAAACUCUGUUGUUAGGGAAGAACAAGUGCUAGUUGAAUAAGCUGACACCUUGACGGUACCUAACCAGAAAGCCACGGCUAACUACGUGCCAGCAGCCGCAGUAA
Molecule: ribosomal RNA, 515 nt
Filed under: uncultured bacterium
Lineage: Bacteria
Description: partial 16S ribosomal RNA
Rfam family: Bacterial small subunit ribosomal RNA
Source: RNAcentral